Molecule: long non-coding RNA, 134 nt
Organism: Haliotis rubra (blacklip abalone)
Lineage: Eukaryota; Metazoa; Mollusca; Gastropoda; Lepetellida; Haliotidae
Exons: 2
Source: RefSeq, a predicted model, not a curated record
UAUUGUCAGAAAUAGAAAAAAAACUGUUUUUAGGCUUAUGUCGAAAUAACCAACAUCGGCCUAACUGGCCGUUCAGUGGGAUGCGUAAUAGGAUAUCCAGAAAAGCAUGUUUACUCGUAAAAUCGGCAAAAGUU